This 552-nucleotide small RNA is filed under the name Histoplasma ohiense. RNAcentral describes it as "hypothetical lncRNA". The record is from RNAcentral. Lineage: Eukaryota; Fungi; Ascomycota; Eurotiomycetes; Onygenales; Ajellomycetaceae.
GCCACGUUCUCACAUCCCCUUGAGAAGCUAUUGUUAGUUUCGUACUCGUUUUUCAAAUUGCCUAUCUCAAUGAAAUGGUUCUGAAUUUUUCCUUCGGGGAUGGUGUGCUAUUUGCUGGGCUUUCUUCAUAAGGAAUACUGGCGUCGCUAUUGUGUUUGACGAAAUAAUCCAAUCCUUCAUCGAUCGGGAUAGUGUUGGCAAAGCCGUUCUCGGUUUUCAUUUUGCCCAGUUUAGUCGGGGUCAAGGGCGUUUGCAUCCGGCCGUUUUUAGCUGCAGAGCUCAGUUUGCUAAUGCGCCCACUGCUGGUAGUGCGGCGGAUGGGAGUUCGAGAAUUAGCUAGUUCUUGGUUGUCCUGACGCAUGCUCUGUGCAAUUUUACGAUACUCGCGGAAUCGACCUUUCAUGGAGUCUAUAAGAUAGAUAAUAAUCGGGGAAGAAACGACUGCAAGGUCUAGAUCUUACGGUAAACCCUGGAUGCGCUGCUAGUAAUGCACCGAUGAAUCGCUCGAUGGAAUCCUUAUUCCAAUUUAUCCCCAUCUCGCGGAGUUCGGCA